RNAcentral lists this ribosomal RNA (490 nucleotides) under uncultured bacterium. Its description in RNAcentral is "partial 16S ribosomal RNA". It matches the Rfam family "Bacterial small subunit ribosomal RNA", at positions 30 to 507 of the family's 1533-position model. The record is from RNAcentral.
AUUGAACGCUGGCGGCAGGCCUAACACAUGCAAGUCGAACGGUAACAGGAAGCAGCUUGCUGCUUUGCUGACGAGUGGCGGACGGGUGAGUAAUGUCUGGGAAACUGCCCGAUGGAGGGGGAUAACUACUGGAAACGGUAGCUAAUACCGCAUAACGUCGCAAGACCAAAGAGGGGGACCUUAGGGCCUCUUGCCACCGGAUGUGCCCAGAUGGGAUUAGCUAGUAGGUGGGGUAACGGCUCACCUAGGCGACGAUCCCUAACUGGUCUGAGAGGAUGACCAGCCACACUGGAACUGAGACACGGUCCAGACUCCUACGGGAGGCAGCAGUGGGGAAUAUUGCACAAUGGGCGCAAGCCUGAUGCAGCCAUGCCGCGUGUAUGAAGAAGGCCUUCGGGUUGUAAAGUACUUUCAGCGGGGAGGAAGGGAGUAAAGUUAAUACCUUUGCUCAUUGACGUUACCCGCAGAAGAAGCACCGGCUAACUCCGUG